Molecule: long non-coding RNA, 2189 nt
Organism: Equus asinus (donkey)
Lineage: Eukaryota; Metazoa; Chordata; Mammalia; Perissodactyla; Equidae
Source: Ensembl
AACAGAGGUUUGGGUUUGGCCUUCCUCUGAGCCCACCUCCCAGCCCUCCACUGAGCACCCAUGUGUGAGUCACCCCAUCUCCUUGUUCCAUAAAGCACGAGGCUGAGUUUCACUCAGCUGCCUUCUCACCAAGCUGCCAAAUCCAGAAGCAAAACAGAGAAGCUGAGCUCUGCCCCAUGUCCUGAUGUCUUUGCUCUAUCGAUCUGGUCAUAUAAAUUAUUUUUUUUAUUCACUGGAAAUAAACUGAAAGGAGUGAACCUGUGUGAAAGUCUCAUAGGAAUGGACGGAAGGUGGGGAGAGAGGGAGGAGACGGUGUCUUUAUCUCAUGAGAGAAAUUCCAGCUUUAGGACCAGCUCCACAGCUGCCAGACAUGUGUUAGAGGAGAGCGGAGGGGGCAGAGCGGAGGGGGCAAAGCCGCAGGCUCCCGCCAAAUUCCAUGCAGCUUUGCUGACUCUAGAGAAAAUUCAGAGAAGAAAUAGACCUUGAGUAGGAAGAUGCGAUUAUUUUCCUCUGGAAGAAGCAGGCUUCCUGGAUGCCUGUGACCUAACUGGAAGGUUGCCAGCCAAAUACAGUGUGCGGCUGCCCUCUCUCCCAACCUGACCCGGGGUCUGACCAGGAGGGUCAGCUUCACCGCCAACAGUGGAGGCAGAAAUGCAACCCCAGGGAUGGCACCGCCUCCUUCCUGUAGGGGGUACCGAUGGCUCGGCCGGAGUCCUUGUUUGGGGAAAACCAGACUCGGAAAAAUGUGAGGCACUUUUAAUCUGCAGCAGGGCGAUGUCCAAGAGUCACCAUAGCAAUGGAGUGUGUCACUGAUCACAGCUCUACCCUGAGCCUGAAACUCCAGUGCUCAAGGGCGACUCUAAUGCCUCGGAGAACUUAACCAUGUGUGUGUUUGCACUUUCUCCGCCCUGAACAGGACAAGAUGGCAGCAGUUUGCCGCCUGAACUCCCCAGCUACACAAAAGCAACCUUGAAAAUGUGGCCAAAGAAAACCACAUUUCUUCCACUUUCAAGACUUCAGUGUCCUCCUGUGGGCCUAACAUGGUGCCAGACUCAUAGUAGGUCUUCAGUAAGUAUUUGAAUGACUCAACCUGCAACAUACCUCUAAAAAGUGAGGCUGGUAAUGCCUGGAUUCCAGUGUAUGGCUUGCAUGAUGAGGAUGAAAAAUGGUGACAGACAUACUUGCAGAGAUCUCAGUCCUGUUUCUAAACUCUGGGACAGCAACUGGAGCACAGGUCCUCCUCCACUUCCUCCACCCCCGGUCUCCAUCCCUGCUCUCUCAGAUAGACAUCUGCCCCUGGAGAGCCAGAGGAGUCUGUGGCCAAUCACUUGCAAAGCCAACCAUCCGAGGAAUGGCUGGUAUGUAGGGUAUGUGUAUGGUGUGGGUUUGUUUUUUCGGUUCAUCACUUGGCAAGGAAAUCCCUAACUAUUUUGUCUGGAGGCAUUAGCAUGGAGCUGAGAACCCCCCUGUCUCCCAGGGGAAGGUAGGAGGAGGGAGCAGGACAGUCCUGCCUCUUUUCCCCCCUGGGACAGCAUGGUACCAUCCCUGACUUGGCAUAUUUCGCUCGGGCUCUGGCUUUUUCCUCUGGCCCUCUGACAGAAGUCGAGUUGAAACAGAAGCAGCGGUAGCAUCAAGAAGACAUUUCCUUGGGGAGAGGACUCCCUGAAAGCUAAGGGGAGACAAGGGCGGGAGGAGGCCGAGCCGCUGUUUGACAUGGAUCAGUGUGCUCUGCCUUCAGUCUCUAGCUCCUCAGCUUGGUGCAGGGGACAGAAUCUGGUCUGAGUCAUGAGACCUGGGUUUUUGUUCUGGCUGGGCGAUCUUGGGCACAUUUCUUGACUUCUCGGAGCCUCUUUGUUUUCAUGAGUAAAUAGACCGUGAUUCCAACGGGUCUGGAUGGUGGACAUCCUUGACAUUUGACAGCUACCAAUAUUUUUGAGUAUUAAUUAUCACUAGGAGCUCUGGUAGGUACUUUAUAAGUAUUGUCAUUUUCUUCAUUGUAGCUAACAUUCAUUAGGUGCUUACAAUACACCAGUCAUUGUUUUAAAAACUGUAUUUAUGUUGACUCAUUUAAUCCUCACAACAAGCCUACAAGGUAGAUAUUAACCCCAUUUUAUAGAUGAGGAAAUUGAAGCACGAUAAAGUCAAACACCGUCGCCAAGUUCACACAGCUAGAAAAUAGCAGGUCCAAG